GUUUGAUCAUGGCUCAGAACGAACGCUGGCGGCAGGCCUAACACAUGCAAGUCGAACGAGAAGCCACCUUCGGGUGGUGGACAGUGGCAGACGGGUGAGUAACGCGUGGGAACGUGCCUUUCGGUUCGGGAUAACCCAGGGAAACUUGGGCUAAUACCGGAUACGCCCUCCGGGGGAAAGAUUCAUUGCCGAAAGAUCGGCCCGCGUCGGAUUAGCUAGUUGGUAGGGUAAUGGCCUACCAAGGCGACGAUCCGUAGCUGGUCUGAGAGGAUGACCAGCCACACUGGGACUGAGACACGGCCCAGACUCCUACGGGAGGCAGCAGUGGGGAAUAUUGGACAAUGGGCGAAAGCCUGAUCCAGCCAUGCCGCGUGGGUGAAGAAGGCCUUAGGGUUGUAAACCCCUUUCAGCGGGGAAGAUAAUGACGGUACCCGCAGAAGAAGUCCCGGCUAACUCCGUGCCAGCAGCCGCGGUAAUA
This 478-nucleotide ribosomal RNA is filed under the name uncultured bacterium. RNAcentral describes it as "bacterial SSU rRNA". It matches the Rfam family "Bacterial small subunit ribosomal RNA", at positions 11 to 525 of the family's 1533-position model. The record is from RNAcentral.